CCUGACCUCAGGUGUUCCACCCGCCUCUGCCUCCCAAAGUGUUGAGAUUACAGGCGAGAGCCACCGCGCCCGGCAUGGGCAUAGGCUCUUAUUUGCAUCAUAUUUACAUCUGUCUUGCAUGUGAGUUAUUUCCCUCCACCCAACUUUCUCAGUUACUCUCAGACUCUAGAGUGUUCGCCAGCCUUGGAGCGUACCCGUUCCUCCAGCCAUUCUUCGGCCUCAGUUCCUUUCCAUCAUUCGCCCUCAGGCCUUCGCCUACCCCAGCUUCAAAGAAGCGACCGUAACCUCCUAGCUGGCUGGGUUCGAGAAGCCGGGGACCUGCGCCUCCUGGUGGCUGAUCGGAAGGAGGCUGAGUGCAGAGGGGUUGUCUUGCCUUCUCUGGGACGUGGAGUUUUGGAAACUGUUCCCCUGAGCUUCCUGAAGCUAAAUUUGCCUCCCCCGGCCUUGGGGGGCGCAGAGAUCCCGGCGGCGAUUAGCGCUGCGCGGCAGCCGGCUCCAACCCAGAGGCCCGGAAUAGGCGCGGAGUUAUAAAUAGUGCCACCCGCAGGUGUUGGGGGGAGUCGGCGGGAGGGGGGUACCCCUGGCGGCCACGGCCCCUUCAGGUUCUGCAAGCAUCUAACUUCUAUGCUUCUACCCUUCGGCGCACGUGGCCCGGCCAGUCCGCGCACCUGGCCGUCAUUCCGAGUCGCUGUCCCCAGCCCCAG
RNAcentral lists this long non-coding RNA (704 nucleotides) under Homo sapiens (human). RNAcentral's name for it is "HSALNT0015623". The record is from RNAcentral. Lineage: Eukaryota; Metazoa; Chordata; Mammalia; Primates; Hominidae.